This 266-nucleotide long non-coding RNA is filed under the name Vigna radiata. Its description in RNAcentral is "long non-coding RNA (VRAD_LNC012379)". Lineage: Eukaryota; Viridiplantae; Streptophyta; Magnoliopsida; Fabales; Fabaceae. The record is from RNAcentral.
AGUCCGGACGAGUCAAGUCUAGAAAUUGCAUGCUUAAGUGAUAUUUCUGAAUCUGUUUGAUAUAAGUUGUUCUUGUAUGUUACAUGUUUAAUACAAUUGUAUGAAUUUAUAUAAUUAGCUCACCCUUGCCUUUGUUGUUUGUGUUUAUGUAUGUUGUUUGAUUCCCUGUUGCGAUGAUCAUCCAUUCUUGGAUGUGAGCAGAGGAGAAUGACGUCUCCGUUGAGAACGCUUUGGAGGAGAACCACAACACUGCUGCUGCUUAGUUC